AACACAUGCAAGUCGAGCGGAAAGGCCUCUUCGGGGGUACUCGAGCGGCGAACGGGUGAGUAACACGUGAGUAAUCUGCCCUCCACUUUGGGAUAACUACCGGAAACGGUGGCUAAUACCGGAUAUGAGCGCCUCAUGCAUGUGGGGUGUUGGAAAGUUUUUCGGUGGGGGAUGUGCUCGCGGCCUAUCAGCUUGUUGGUGGGGUAAUGGCCUACCAAGGCUUCGACGGGUAGCCGGCCUGAGAGGGUGACCGGCCACACUGGGACUGAGACACGGCCCCGACUCCUACGGGAGGCAGCAGUGGGGAAUAUUGGACAAUGGGCGGAAGCCUGAUCCAGCAACGCCGCGUGAGGGAUGACGGCCUUCGGGUUGUAAACCUCUUUCAGUACCGACGAAGCGGAAGUGACGGUAGGUACAGAAGAAGCACCGGCCAAACUACGUGCCAGCAGCCGCGGUAAUA
This 460-nucleotide ribosomal RNA is filed under the name uncultured Actinomycetes bacterium. RNAcentral describes it as "bacterial SSU rRNA". It matches the Rfam family "Bacterial small subunit ribosomal RNA", at positions 50 to 525 of the family's 1533-position model. Lineage: Bacteria; Bacillati; Actinomycetota; Actinomycetes. The record is from RNAcentral.